GAGGAAUAUUGCGCAAUGGAGGCAACUCUGACGCAGCCAUGCCGCGUGCAGGAUGAAGGCGCUACGCGUUGUAAACUGCUUUUAACCGGGAAGAAACCCCAGGACGUGUCCUGGGUUGACGGUACCGGAGGAAUAAGCACCGGCUAACUUCGUGCCAGCAGCCGCGGUAAUACGAAGGGUGCAAGCGUUAUCCGGAUUCAUUGGGUUUAAAGGGUGCGUAGGCGGAGCGUUAAGUCAGUGGUGAAAUCCCGCAGCUCAACUGUGGAAUUGCCAUUGAUACUGGCGCUCUUGAGUGCGGUUGACGUGGGCGGAAUGUGCCGUGUAGCGGUGAAAUGCUUAGAUAUGGCACAGAACACCGAUCGCGAAGGCAGCUCGCGAAGCCGCAACUGACGCUGAGGCACGAAAGCGUGGGGAUCGAAC
RNAcentral lists this ribosomal RNA (420 nucleotides) under uncultured bacterium. RNAcentral describes it as "bacterial SSU rRNA". It matches the Rfam family "Bacterial small subunit ribosomal RNA", at positions 356 to 773 of the family's 1533-position model. The record is from RNAcentral.